Molecule: transfer RNA, 83 nt
Filed under: Colletotrichum tofieldiae
Lineage: Eukaryota; Fungi; Ascomycota; Sordariomycetes; Glomerellales; Glomerellaceae
Rfam family: tRNA
About the family: Transfer RNA (tRNA) molecules are approximately 80 nucleotides in length. Their secondary structure includes four short double-helical elements and three loops (D, anti-codon, and T loops).
Source: Rfam by way of RNAcentral
GGCCGGUUGGCCCAAUGGCAAGGCGUCUGACUACGACUCGCAAUGGUAUCAGGAGAUUCUGGGUUCGACCCCCAGGCUGGUCA